CCCUUAGAUGUUCUGGGCCGCACGCGCGCUACACUGAUGCAUGCAACGAGUUCUAUCCUUGGCCGGAAGGCCUGGGUAAUCUGUGAACGUGCAUCGUGAUAGGGAUAGAUUAUUGCAAUUAUUAAUCUUGAACGAGGAAUUCCUAGUAAACGCAAGUCAUCAGCUUGCAUUGAUUACGUCCCUGCCCUUUGUACACACCGCCCGUCGCACCUCCCGAUCGAAGGUAAUGAUGAGCCCUCAGGAUUGUGGCCUCGUCGCGUCAGCGUCUUGGCUGCGAGAAUCUGUGCAAAUCCCUACCUUUAGAGGAAGGUGAAGUCGUAACA
Molecule: ribosomal RNA, 323 nt
Filed under: uncultured eukaryote
Lineage: Eukaryota
Description: partial 18S ribosomal RNA
Rfam family: Eukaryotic small subunit ribosomal RNA
Source: RNAcentral